GACGAACGCUGGCGGCGUGCUUAACACAUGCAAGUCGAACGGAAACGCCUGCUUUCCCUUCUGGUUUCCGGUUACUCGCGUGGCGAACGGGCGAGUAACACGUGACUGAUCUGCCCCCAACUCGGGUAUAAGCCUGGGUAACUGGGUCUAAUUCCCGAUAGUACUGCAGGGUGGCGCCUGUGGUGGGAACUGAUGUUCUAGCGGUUGGGGAUGAGCUCGCGGCUUAUGAGGUUGUGGGUGAGGUAAUGGCCGACGAAGGCGGCGAGGGGGAGCGGGCCGGGGAGGGGGGACGGCGAGAUUGAGACAGGGAUACGGCCCAGACUCCAACGGGAGGCAGCGGAGGGGAAAAAGGCAGCAUGAGCGGAAGCCUGAAGCAGCGAGGGCGCGUGGGGGACGACGGCCUUCGGGUGGUAAACUGCUUUCGAAGGAAAGGAAGCCACCUGGUUGGAAGGGUGGUGACGGUAGUGGAAGAAGAAGCACCGGCUAACUACGUG
Molecule: ribosomal RNA, 494 nt
Filed under: uncultured bacterium
Lineage: Bacteria
Description: partial 16S ribosomal RNA
Rfam family: Bacterial small subunit ribosomal RNA
Source: RNAcentral